CAAGACUGCCCCAAAAAUCAAAACACUCUUACCUCAGCGGUGCCUUGAAGGUAAUCCAGUAAAGCCCUUCACCCAAUUUACCUCAAUGUGUCAGACAUUGAACUUACUUCGUGUGUCCGGAAAACAGUUGUGAAAGCAUUUAGCUCCAUCCAUCGCAAAAGCAACUCUUCACUUCUUCGGUAAUUAAUAAACGAGACGUGCAUUACCUGCAACCAAAAUGCUGAAAUAGGAGCAUUGUAAGUCUUGAGCUCAUUCCAAAUAUGGCGUACAGAUUCUGUGCC
This is a long non-coding RNA of Prunus persica (peach), 281 nucleotides long. RefSeq lists it as uncharacterized. The record is from RefSeq and is a predicted model, not a curated record. The transcript is spliced from 3 exons. Lineage: Eukaryota; Viridiplantae; Streptophyta; Magnoliopsida; Rosales; Rosaceae.